GGCUCUGUGGCGCAAUGGAUAGCGCAUUGGACUUCUAGAGACGAAAAGAGCAAUUCAAAGGUUGUGGGUUCGAAUCCCACCAGAGUCG
Molecule: transfer RNA, 88 nt
Filed under: Loxodonta africana (African savanna elephant)
Lineage: Eukaryota; Metazoa; Chordata; Mammalia; Proboscidea; Elephantidae
Rfam family: tRNA
About the family: Transfer RNA (tRNA) molecules are approximately 80 nucleotides in length. Their secondary structure includes four short double-helical elements and three loops (D, anti-codon, and T loops). Further hydrogen bonds mediate the characteristic L-shaped molecular structure. tRNAs have two regions of fundamental functional importance: the anti-codon, which is responsible for specific mRNA codon recognition, and the 3' end, to which the tRNAs corresponding amino acid is attached (by aminoacyl-tRNA synthetases). tRNAs cope with the degeneracy of the genetic code in two manners: having more than one tRNA (with a specific anti-codon) for a particular amino acid; and 'wobble' base-pairing, i.e. permitting non-standard base-pairing at the 3rd anti-codon position.
Source: Rfam by way of RNAcentral